AUGAAGCCGAGGCUCGACGACGGGGGCGUCAGGUUCCCGUCAUUUCAGUUCCUAGGAAAUGCGGCGGUGGCGGCAGCAGCUCCUUCGACCUUCGGUGGAUUCAUCCUCUUCGUGAUCGUUUUGCUCCUCGACUACCUGAGGGAGUUCGAGAGGAACCUGCUGAAUGGGCUGCGGAGGGGCAACGACUAUGACAGCGGGCUAGCACCAUUGUAG
This 213-nucleotide ribosomal RNA is filed under the name Triticum aestivum (bread wheat). RNAcentral's name for it is "partial small subunit ribosomal RNA". Lineage: Eukaryota; Viridiplantae; Streptophyta; Magnoliopsida; Poales; Poaceae. The record is from RNAcentral.